ACGCCGGGAGCCGGCCCGAGCCGCCAAGAUGUCGCAGCCCAAGAGAAGAAAGCUUGGGUCGGGGGGCGGCGGCGAAGGAGGGGAGGGAACUGAAGAGGAAGAUGGCGGAGAGCUGGAGGUGGCCCUGCCACGACCCCGGAGGACUAGGCGGGAGCGAGACCAGCUGUACUACCAGUGCUACUCGGAUGUAUCGGUCCACGAGGAGAUGAUUGCCGACCGCGUCCGCACCGAUGCCUACCGCCUGGGCAUUCUGCGGAACUGGGCAGCGCUGCGGGGCAAGACCGUGCUGGACGUGGGCGCGGGCACCGGCAUUCUCAGCAUCUUCUGUGCCCAGGCCGGGGCCCGGCGCGUGUACGCGGUGGAGGCCAGCGACAUCUGGCAACAGGCCCGGGAGGUGGUGCGGCUCAACGGGCUGGAGGACCGGGUGCACGUCCUGCCGGGGCCAGUGGAGACGGUGGAGUUGCCGGAGCAGGUGGAUGCCAUCGUGAGCGAGUGGAUGGGCUGCGGACUCCUGCACGAGUCCAUGCUGAGCUCUGUGCUCCACGCGCGGACCAAGUGGCUGAAGGAGGGCGGUCUUCUACUGCCGGCUUCCGCCGAGCUCUUCGUGGCGCCCAUCAGCGACCAGAUGCUGGAGUUGCGCCUAAGCUUCUGGAGCCAGAUGAAGCAGCUCUACGGUGUGGACAUGAGCUGCCUGGAGAGCUUCGCCACGCGCUGCCUCAUGGCCCACUCAGAAAUCGUGGUGCAAGGCCUGUCCGGCGAGGAUGUGCUGGCCCGGCCGCAGUGCUUUGCUCAGCUGGAGCUGGCCCGCGCCGGCCUGGAGCAGGAGCUGGAAGCGGGGGUGGGUGGGCGCUUCCGCUUCAGCUGCUACGGCUCGGCUCACAUGCACGGCUUUGCCAUCUGGUUCCAGGUGACCUUCCCCGGAGGGGACUCGGAGAAACCCCUGGUGCUGUCCACCUCGCCUUUUCACCCAGUCACGCACUGGAAGCAGGCACUCCUCUACCUGAACGAGCCUGUGCAAGUGGAGCAAGAUACGGACGUUUCCGGAGAGAUCACGCUGCUGCCCUCCCAGGACAACCACCGUCACCUACGCGUGCUGCUGCGCUACAAAGUGGGCGACCAGGAGGAAAAGACCAAAGACUUUGCCAUGGAGGACUGAGCGUGGCUUUCUCUCCCAGCUACCUCCCGAGGCGGCCAGACCUGCGCGGUAGAGGCGGAGGGGGGUCGGAGGAGAAAGGGAAAUCUCACGUGCAAGUGUUUGACAGUACGAGCAUGGCUGUAUAUGACGAGCAAUGUAUGACACUGGAUACCAGAUGAUCCAAAGGAGCCUAAGCCCUGAAGUGAGGAUUCUUCCAGAAGGAUGAGGUUGUGAGAUGCACCAACAUUCAGGCACUGUCCAAGCUCUGUAUGAACUGGUACUGAUUGCUUAGGGUCAUUUGGGUCACAGGAAGAAACUACCAGCCCUAAGGAGAGAAAAACAUGGUGAAGUCCUACCUGCUUUCCUCAGAGAGCUUACAUUUAUUUAGCACUGUGAAACUUUCCAGAUAUUUUCAUUAACUCACUGGACCAAUGGACAUUUUAUUCGGUAUACGAUAUAAUAGUCAUUGUGAUAAGUGCUUAGGAUAUAAACCAGUAAAACAUAGUUUCUCCUUCAAAUAGGUAUGUUCACAGGAUAAACCAGAAAGUAAAAUAAACAAAAAAUAAUGGGCAAAAGACUGGGUGGUGUAGGUGUUAGGGAGGGCAAGUAAUUAUCUUCACCUUACAUACUAGGAAAAAAGAGUUACACAGAUUUUGAAGGAUUUAGCCUAAGGUUACAUAACUAAUUCUUGACAGUUUAACACAAGUCUUUCGAUUCCUAACCCACAAAAGACCCCUUAGAUUAAGGAAGUCUCCCUGGAGACCUGUCUCACAGGCCUCAAAGAGCCACCACCUUCAGUAUAUAGGAUCUUCACGUUGACAAAUACUAGGCACUCACGAAGCAUUCCCUGUUCCCAUUCCCGUAACAGAGCUAAUCAAAUGUGGCACUUUCUGAGGCUCCCCCAGGGGACUGAAUCCUCAACAUAGUAGCAAAGGUAGACAAACUCUUGUCAUUCUACUUGGUACUUGAUGCUGGACAGCAGAGAGACAUCUGACCAGGCGGUCAUUCAUUUAAUGGUUUAAUAAACACCAACUAACAGUUAAGUAAGCAGAUCCUACUCUCAAAAAACUGGGGUAUGGCGGGGAGUAGAAUUACCUACAUCAAUAACCUGCAUUCAUUCUUUAUACUGGAAAGAUUUCAUUCUAACUAAAUCUUACCCCUGCUGAAGCAAGGAUAGGAAGCCAGCCCUCUUAUCAAUUUCAUUCUUAAAAUUUCGCCCAAGUGCAAAAAUACUCCUUAUCAUCACAUAGAUUAUGAGCUCCUCAGAGAAAAAUUUCUCUAUGGUGUUAGUUCCAAAAAUAAAUCUAUGUCCUCUAUAUAACUGGUUUGUUUCAGCUAACGGACACAAUAUUUUGGGUAGAUGACCCUUCUCACACUGGCUACUAGAAAGUUGAGCCAAAUUUAUAGUUCACUUGCGCUUUUUGUUUUUAGCUUUAUAUCUGGCUUCAUUUCCAUGACCCAGUUUUUUCUUGCUUUGUCCCUCUCAAUAAAUAUUAAUGUUUUGUUGGAAUUUAUGUAUCUUUGUUCUCUUCUAAUACUUUCUGGCAUUAAGAUAUUUUCCUCCUUUUUGGAAUACCUGCAAUAGUUCUGAGGGUGAGGAGGUUGGAGAAAAGGCCAGAGGACCCUGAUGUACGCCCCCUUUAUUUUCUAUGAAAUGUGAUGUCCAAAGUUGUUCAUAUGGAUGGAAAGCUGAUUGGAUCCCAUCCUUUUAGCCAACCUACAGCAUUUUACACUUUGUAGAAUCAAGAUUUCUGAAUGUGUGACAAACUCAGACAUGUAGACAAUCUUGAGGAAACCUUGAAUAUUCUGCAGCUCUUUGUAAGCCUAGAACGGGCUCUAAUUGCAUCUUAAACACAACCGUAGAGUUGUAGAUUGCCAAACCCCUUCCAAAAGCGUGUGAAAAUAGUUUAAGGUGAUGAUAAAGAGGAAGGAAGGACAAAAUGAGACUAUUUCUCAUAUAUCAUAUGCGCUUGUAGGGAAAGAUUUGAAACAAAGCAUCUAAACCUAACAAAACACAAAGAGAAUUUUCAUAAAAAUUAAGAUAUCAACAGUAUCAUUGGAAUUGUGCUCCUUGGAGAGCUUUGAUAAUUAAAUUCAUCAUUAUUGAUAGUAAUAACUUUGGGGAAAGACUGGUGAGAUUUCAGUUGGAUAGCUUUUUAACUCUAAAAACUAUCACUUAGAAGUUUAGAAUACAUAGAUAG
Non-coding RNA from Delphinapterus leucas (beluga whale), 3336 nucleotides. Lineage: Eukaryota; Metazoa; Chordata; Mammalia; Artiodactyla; Monodontidae. The record is from RefSeq and is a predicted model, not a curated record.